RNAcentral lists this ribosomal RNA (292 nucleotides) under uncultured bacterium. RNAcentral describes it as "partial 16S ribosomal RNA". The record is from RNAcentral.
GGACUACAAGGGUAUCUAAUCCUGUUCGCUCCCCACGCUUUCGCGUCUCAGCGUCAAUACCGUCCCAGAGAGCCGCCUUCGCCACGGGUGUUCUUCCUGAUAUCUGCGCAUUCCACCGCUACACCAGGAAUUCCGCUCUCCUCUUCCGGAUUCUAGCCAGGUAGUUUCUCACGACAGCUUGCGGUUGAGCCGCAAGAUUUCACGCGAGACUUACCAAGCCGCCUACACGCUCUUUACGCCCAAUGAUUCCGGACAACGCUUGCCCCCUACGUAUUACCGCGGCGGCUGGCAC